RNAcentral lists this ribosomal RNA (229 nucleotides) under uncultured bacterium. Its description in RNAcentral is "partial 16S ribosomal RNA". It matches the Rfam family "Bacterial small subunit ribosomal RNA", at positions 568 to 796 of the family's 1533-position model. The record is from RNAcentral.
UGCGUAGGCGGACUAAUAAGUCAGUGGCGAAAUCUCUCGGCUCAACCGGGAAACUGCCAUUGAUACUGUCAGUCUUGAGUUCGGUUGAGGUAGGCGGAAUGUGUAAUGUAGCGGUGAAAUGCUUAGAUAUUACACAGAACACCAAUUGCGUAGGCAGCUUACUAGACCGACACUGACGCUGAGGCACGAAAGCGUGGGUAGCGAACAGGAUUAGAUACCCUGGUAGUCC